RNAcentral lists this long non-coding RNA (1022 nucleotides) under Gossypium barbadense (sea-island cotton). RNAcentral describes it as "long non-coding RNA (GBAR_LNC011046)". The record is from RNAcentral. Lineage: Eukaryota; Viridiplantae; Streptophyta; Magnoliopsida; Malvales; Malvaceae.
UCCCUCCCCCAAUUUUUUUUUAUUUAGUCCUUUCAAAAAUGAGAAAAUCAUAAACUAAUACAUGAUAAAAUUAUAAUUUAAUCUCUAAAAAGAUUAUCAGUAAAUUUCGACCCCUUCUAAAAAAUUUCUAGAUUCCCCCUAUUUAGAUACUAUUAGAGGCUAAAUGUUCAAAAAGAGAGGAUAAAAGCUAAACUUUUCAAGAAUACUCAAAUAAGAGCUUUUCACACGCUUCAACCAGUUUGUAGUAUAAAAUUAGGCAAAUGAUGAUUUGUUUAGAAUAAAACAAAUGGCAGUUAUUUGAAAAGAAAAGAAAGAUAAAUAAAAACAUAAAUUGAGACUUGAUAAGCGAUAUUUGAGAAGCCCUUAUUUGAUUGUUUUGAAAGGUUUAAUCCUUAUCCAAGCGAUUCAUAAAAAAUUCGGUCCUAUUUUGAACAUUUAGCCUACCCUAGAAGACUAGUUAUUAAAUAUAUAUGUGUACUCCAUCAUUAAAAGUGUAGAGGAACCAUUGGGUUUUCCAAGGCAUCAGAUUCUUACCGAAUGUUUUCCAUCUUCUUGCUCCGAGCUGAUUCCCCGAUGUAAUCUGAAAGGCAAAAGUAUUCUACAUCAUCCUUCUAUCCGUAUUGAAUUCCACCAUUUCCCAACCUCUUAACAAGAACAAAAGCUCCAUCAAUGGUUUUGAGUUUUGAAACCAUCCUAUCAAUACAUAAGAACCAAUGUAAAUGAGGAUCCAAUGAGCUUUUAUUAGAUUUGUCAUGCACACACUUCAUACUAAAUAGAAAUCGAAGUAUUGGAACAAAUGUUUUCAUGGUAUCGGUUUAGAGUUCUCACCUAUGUUGCUCUGAGUCUUCAUUUUUCUUCAACUAUCCAUGUUUGACAUAUAUCUGAACACCAAUACAAGGAUAUGAAAACAUAAUCAUAUAUACUAACAUAAUCAUAUAUGAAAACAUAAUCAUAUAUACUAACACUCGAACUUCCUAACAAGAACACAAGCUCCAUCAAUGGUUUGAGUUCUUGAAACCAUC